This 496-nucleotide ribosomal RNA is filed under the name uncultured bacterium. RNAcentral's name for it is "partial 16S ribosomal RNA". It matches the Rfam family "Bacterial small subunit ribosomal RNA", at positions 29 to 507 of the family's 1533-position model. The record is from RNAcentral.
ACGAACGCUGGCGGCGUGCCUAAUACAUGCAAGUUGAGCGCUGAAGGUUGGUACUUGUACCGACUGGAUGAGCAGCGAACGGGUGAGUAACGCGUGGGGAAUCUGCCUUUGAGCGGGGGACAACAUUUGGAAACGAAUGCUAAUACCGCAUAAAAACUUUAAACACAAGUUUUAAGUUUGAAAGAUGCAAUUGCAUCACUCAAAGAUGAUCCCGCGUUGUAUUAGCUAGUUGGUGAGGUAAAGGCUCACCAAGGCGAUGAUACAUAGCCGACCUGAGAGGGUGAUCGGCCACAUUGGGACUGAGACACGGCCCAAACUCCUACGGGAGGCAGCAGUAUGGAAUCUUCGGCAAUGGACGAAAGUCUGACCGAGCAACGCCGCGUGAGUGAAGAAGGUUUUCGGAUCGUAAAACUCUGUUGGUAGAGAAGAACGUUGGUGAGAGUGGAAAGCUCAUCAAGUGACGGUAACUACCCAGAAAGGGACGGCUAACUACGUG